RNAcentral lists this ribosomal RNA (461 nucleotides) under uncultured bacterium. RNAcentral's name for it is "bacterial SSU rRNA". It matches the Rfam family "Bacterial small subunit ribosomal RNA", at positions 1 to 507 of the family's 1533-position model. The record is from RNAcentral.
CGAUAUCGACGAGUUGAUCCUGGCUCAGAGCGAACGCUGGCGGCAGGCCUAACACAUGCAAGUCGAACGAACCCUUCGGGGUUAGUGGCGGACGGGUGAGUAACACGUGGGAACGUGCCUUUAGGUUCGGAAUAACUCAGGGAAACUUGUGCUAAUACCGAAUGUGCCCUUCGGGGAAAGGAUUUAUCGCCUUUAGAGCGGCCCGCGUCUGAUUAGCUAGUUGGUGAGGUAAAGGCUCACCAAGGCUACGAUCAGUAGCUGGUCUGAGAGGAUGACCAGCCACAUUGGGACUGAGACACGGCCCAAACUCCUACGGGAGGCAGCAGUGGGGAAUCUUGCGCAAUGGGCGAAAGCCUGACGCAGCCAUGCCGCGUGGAUGAUGAAGGUCUUAGGAUUGUAAAAUCCUUUCACCGGUGAAGAUAAUGACUGUAGCCGGAGAAGAAGCCCCGGCUAACUUCGUG